Long non-coding RNA from Herpailurus yagouaroundi (jaguarundi), 497 nucleotides. RefSeq lists it as uncharacterized. NCBI's taxonomy places the organism in Eukaryota, Metazoa, Chordata, Mammalia, Carnivora, Felidae. The transcript is spliced from 2 exons. The record is from RefSeq and is a predicted model, not a curated record.
AGAAUGUCAUGGAAUUAAUUGCAGUAGGUCCUACUUGGCUUGGCCUGUCUUACAGGGAGAAGGACAAUGAAUGGAAGUGGGAGGAUGGCUCCUCUCCUUCUCCUGGGCUGGGUUUACCAGAGCCAAGUCUGGAUUUCCAGGGAAAAUGUGUGUAUGUAAAGGCACACACUCUUGGUACUGAUAACUGCACCAUACCCUCUUCAUGCCUGUGUGAGAAGGCUGUCCACUAAAAAUCAGAAGAAGAAAGUUAUGAGAAAAGCUAUGAGGGUCACAUCUCAAUAACAUUCCAGACGCAAGACCUGCUUGUCUUUGUUCUAUUGUUUUUUUCAUGUUAUUUGUAACCCUUUUAUCUCAUAGCAGAAACUGUCAAAUGACUUUAUGAGAGACGAAGGCAAAGCCUAGAGUUUUAGCAGAAAUAUCAGAGGAGCAAAUUCAGAACCUGUUUGAUUUCAUGAGAAUUGUAUAAAUGAACUAAUAAACAUUAUUUGUCAUGACUA